RNAcentral lists this ribosomal RNA (432 nucleotides) under uncultured bacterium. Its description in RNAcentral is "bacterial SSU rRNA". It matches the Rfam family "Bacterial small subunit ribosomal RNA", at positions 28 to 507 of the family's 1533-position model. The record is from RNAcentral.
GAUGAACGCUGGCGGCGUGCUUAACACAUGCAAGUCGAACGAACCUUCGGGUUAGUGGCGGACGGGUGAGUAACGCGUGAGAAUCUGCCCUCAGGAGGGGGAUAACGGCUGGAAACGGCCGCUAAUACCCCAUAUGCCGCGAGGUGAAAUGAAAUUCGCCUGAGGAUGAGCUCGCGUUUGAUUAGCUAGUUGGUGGGGUAAGAGCCUACCAAGGCAUCGAUCAGUAGCUGGUUUGAGAGGAUGAUCAGCCACACUGGGACUGAGACACGGCCCAGACUCCUACGGGAGGCAGCAGUGGGGAAUUUUCCGCAAUGGGCGAAAGCCUGACGGAGCAACGCCGCGUGAGGGAUGAAGGCCUUUGGGCUGUAAACCUCUUUUAUCGAGGAAGAAGAUCUGACGGUACGUGAUGAAUAAGCCACGGCUAAUUCCGUG